UACGUAGGUGGCAAGCGUUGUCCGGAUUUAUUGGGUUUAAAGGGUGCGUAGGCGGCCCUGUAAGUCAGUGCUGAAAUAUCCCAGCUUAACUUGGAGGGUGGCAUUGAUACUGCGGGGCUAGAGUACAGAUGAGGUAGGCGGAAUUGACGGUGUAGCGGUGAAAUGCUUAGAUAUCGUCAAGAACACCUAUAGCGAAGGCAGCUUACUAGGCUGUAACUGACGCUGAGGCACGAAAGUGUGGGGAUCAAACAGG
This 253-nucleotide ribosomal RNA is filed under the name uncultured bacterium. RNAcentral describes it as "partial 16S ribosomal RNA". It matches the Rfam family "Bacterial small subunit ribosomal RNA", at positions 524 to 776 of the family's 1533-position model. The record is from RNAcentral.